UACGUAGGGAGCAAGCGUUGUCCGGAAUUACUGGGCGUAAAGGGUGCGUAGGCGGUUUGUCAAGUCGAAUGUGAAAUACCGGGGCUUAACCUCGGGGCUGCAUUCGAAACUGGCAGACUUGAGUGCAGGAGAGGAAAGCGGAAUUCCUAGUGUAGCGGUGAAAUGCGUAGAUAUUAGGAGGAACACCGGUGGCGAAGGCGGCUUUCUGGACUGUAACUGACGCUGAGGCACGAAAGCGUGGGGAGCAAACAGG
Molecule: ribosomal RNA, 253 nt
Filed under: uncultured bacterium
Lineage: Bacteria
Description: partial 16S ribosomal RNA
Rfam family: Bacterial small subunit ribosomal RNA
Source: RNAcentral